AGUGAACGCUGGCGGUAGGCCUAACACGUGCAAGUCGAACGGCAGCACAGGAGAGCUUGCUCUCUGGGUGGCGAGUGGCGGACGGGUGAGGAAUACAUCGGAAUCUACUCUGUCGUGGGGGAUAACGUAGGGAAACUUACGCUAAUACCGCAUACGACCUACGGGUGAAAGCAGGGGACCUUCGGGCCUUGCGCGAUUGAAUGAGGCGAUGUCGGAUUAGCUAGUUGGCGGGGUAAAGGCCCACCAAGGCGACGAUCCGUAGCUGGUCCGAGAGGAUGAUCAGCCACACUGGAACUGAGACACGGUCCAGACUCCUACGGGAGGCAGCAGUGGGGAAUAUUGGACAAUGGGCGCAAGCCUGAUCCAGCCAUACCGCGUGGGUGAAGAAGGCCUUCGGGUUGUAAAGCCCUUUUGUUGGGAAAGAAAUCCAGCCGGCUAAUACCCGGUUGGGAUGACGGUACCCAAAGAAUAAGCACCGGCUAACUUCGUGCCAGCCGCCGCAGUAA
RNAcentral lists this ribosomal RNA (506 nucleotides) under uncultured bacterium. RNAcentral's name for it is "partial 16S ribosomal RNA". It matches the Rfam family "Bacterial small subunit ribosomal RNA", at positions 29 to 523 of the family's 1533-position model. The record is from RNAcentral.